Molecule: long non-coding RNA, 1340 nt
Organism: Hyla sarda
Lineage: Eukaryota; Metazoa; Chordata; Amphibia; Anura; Hylidae
Exons: 3
Source: RefSeq, a predicted model, not a curated record
ACAUGUGUAUUUGUUAAAGUUUGAAAACAGAUAUAAUAACAGCUAGCUGACAUUAAGGGAGUGUGCUUAUAUUCCGUUCCUUGUAGAAAUAGAGUAGUUAGUACUAUUAUUCAUUCAGCUCCGAUACUCGGAGUCUGUACAGUGCUUCAUAGCAGACAGCAGUGGUGAUUAGCUUAUAUAUAUAUAUCUCCGGGAUGACCGGCAAGGAGAUGGACUGCGCGGCCAUAGAUAAUGUCAGCAGAAAGAGGAAAUGUUUACACAGUGAGUUCUCUUUGUUAUUUUUCUUCCGAGGAGUAAUGUAAUUGUUCUUGUUCACAGAGGGCUCUGAUGUGUUCGAUGUCCGGAGUUCUUCUGCUGCAUGGUGCAAAGCUAUUAGUUUCAUCCUUAUCAAAGCAGUGAGAAGGAGAAUACUGUUGCAUAGGGCUCAGAUACUCAAGGCUCUGCACUGUAUAGCACAUAGCUAUAGUUAAUUUCAUUAUUGUCAUAAUUGUAUCUCUAGAGUAUCAGUACCAGUAAACUGUGUGGCAAUGAUUUACAUUGGACCUUUGAUGCAUUCUCUGCUCCGGAGUGUCGGUGGCAUUGACAGUGGAAUGUGUGGCCGGGGUUUGUGACGGCAGUAGAGGGGACUGCUCAUGAUGUCUCCCUUAUCCGGAUCUCAUCUUAUUAGUUCCAUGGCUUCGUUCAGACCUCUUGGUGUUAAAGUGCCCAACCUGAAGAUCCAGUACAUCUCCCUCCUGCAACCACAGCUAUGCAGUGCACUAUCACUGCUUUGAUAAGGAUGAAACUAAUAGCUUUGCACCAUGCAGCAGAAGAACUCCGGACAUCGAACACAUCAGAGCCCUCUGUGAACAAGAACAAUUACAUUACUCCUCGGAAGAAAAAUAACAAAGAGAACUCACUGUGUAAACAUUUCCUCUUUCUGCUGACAUUAUCUACGGCCGCGCAGUCCAUCUCCUUGCCGGUCAUCCCGGAGAUAUAUAUAUAAGCUAAUCACCACUGCUGUCUGCUAUGAAGCGCUGUACAGACUCAGAGUAUCGGAGCUGAAUGAAUAAUAGUACUAACUACUUAUUUCUACAAGGAACGGAAUAUAAGCACACUCCCUUAAUGUCAGCUAGCUGUUAUUAUAUCUGUUUUCAAACUUUAACCAAUACACGUGUUUAUCCCAUUGUUGCAAUGCGCAUGUCUCAAGAUGUAUCAGUGACGUCACCUCCGUCCUGUUAAGUUUCCCGCGCGCUAUGUAUAUUUAAAUCCCCUCACUCCUAUGACCCCCCAGACCUGACGAAGCAAGGGGAUCCUUGCGAAACGCGUUGUCUCUGUACCUGUUUUUAUUUCAUUUUAUA